Molecule: ribosomal RNA, 388 nt
Filed under: uncultured bacterium
Lineage: Bacteria
Description: bacterial SSU rRNA
Rfam family: Bacterial small subunit ribosomal RNA
Source: RNAcentral
AUUGAACGCUGGCGGCAUGCCUUGCACAUGCAAGUCGAACGGUAACGCGGGGCAACCUGGCGACGAGUGGCGAACGGGUGAGUAAUACAUCGGAACGUGCCCGAUCGUGGGGGAUAACGCAGCGAAAGCUGUGCUAAUACCGCAUAUUCUGUGAGCAGGAAAGCAGGGGACCGCAAGGCCUUGCGCUCUUUGAGCGGCCGAUGUCAGAUUAGCUAGUUGGUGAGGUAAAGGCUUACCAAGGCGACGAUCUGUAGCGGGUCUGAGAGGAUGAUCCGCCACACUGGAACUGAGACACGGUCCAGACUCCUACGGGAGGCAGCAGUGGGGAAUUUUGGACAAUGGGCGCAAGCCUGAUCCAGCCAUGCCGCGUGAGUGAAGAAGGCCUCGG